GCAAAACGCGAAGAACCUUACCCACCUUUGACAUGGCAGGAACUUACCAGAGAUGGUUUGGUGCUCGAAAGAGAACCUGCACACAGGUGCUGCAUGGCUGUCGUCAGCUCGUGUCGUGAGAUGUUGGGUUAAGUCCCGCAACGAGCGCAACCCUUGCCAUUAGUUGCUACAUUCAGUUGAGCACUCUAAUGGGACUGCCGGUGACAAACCGGAGGAAGGUGUGGAUGACGUCAAGUCCUCAUGGCCCUUAUAGGGUGGGGCUACACACGUCAUACAAUGGCUGGUACAAAGGGUUGCCAACCCGCGAGGGGGAGCUAAUCCCAUAAAGCCAGUCGUAGUCCGGAUCGCAGUCUGCAACUCGACUGCGUGAAGUCGGAAUCGUUAGUAAUCGUGGAUCAGAAUGUCACGGUGAAUACGUUCCCGGGUCUUGUACACACCG
Molecule: ribosomal RNA, 439 nt
Filed under: uncultured bacterium
Lineage: Bacteria
Description: bacterial SSU rRNA
Rfam family: Bacterial small subunit ribosomal RNA
Source: RNAcentral